CAGUAGCCGCGGGAAUACAGAGGGUGCGAGCGUUAAUCGGAUUUACUGGGCGUAAAGCGUGCGUAGGCGGCUUCUUAAGUCGGAUGUGAAAUCCCUGAGCUUAACUUAGGAAUUGCAUUCGAUACUGGGAAGCUAGAGUAUGGGAGAGGAUGGUAGAAUUCCAGGUGUAGCGGUGAAAUGCGUAGAGAUCUGGAGGAAUACCGAUGGCCAAGGCAGCCAUCUGGCCUAAUACUGACGCUGAGGUACGAAAGCAUGGGGAGCAAACAGGAUUAGAUACCCGCGUAGUCCCUGUCUCUUAUAC
Molecule: ribosomal RNA, 301 nt
Filed under: uncultured bacterium
Lineage: Bacteria
Description: partial 16S ribosomal RNA
Rfam family: Bacterial small subunit ribosomal RNA
Source: RNAcentral